AACUAACGCUGGCGGCGUGCCUAACACAUGCAAGUCGUACGAGAAAGUCGGCUUCGGCCGAUGAGUACAGUGGCGCACGGGUGAGUAGCGCGUGGGUAAUCUGCCCCCCGGUCAGGAAUAACCCGCCGAAAAGGCGGGCUAAUACCCGAUAACACUGACGCUCCGCGGAGCGUCUUUCAAAGAAGGCCUCUGUUUACAAGCUUUCGCCGGAGGAUGAGCCCGCGUACCAUUAGCUAGUUGGCAGGGUAAUGGCCUACCAAGGCUACGAUGGUUAGCUGGUCUGAGAGGAUGGCCAGCCACACUGGAACUGAGACACGGUCCAGACUCCUACGGGAGGCAGCAGUGAGGAAUCUUGCGCAAUGGGGGAAACCCUGACGCAGCAACGCCGCGUGAGUGAGGAAGGCCUUCGGGUCGUAAAGCUCUGUCAGAUGGGAAGAAAUGGAUGGGGGCUAAUAUCGCCCAUCCUUGACGGUACCAUCAGAGGAAGCACCGGCUAACUCCGUG
Molecule: ribosomal RNA, 504 nt
Filed under: uncultured bacterium
Lineage: Bacteria
Description: bacterial SSU rRNA
Rfam family: Bacterial small subunit ribosomal RNA
Source: RNAcentral